CAAAGUAUUACUAUAAAGUCAAACUGGCUUACCAAAUGGGCCAAACUUACCCAUCAUUGGGUGCGUUGGAUAGCAAUGGCAAAAGAAAGGAAAAAGAUCCUUGUGCUAAAUCAUUAGAUGGAUUACACGGAAUUCUAGAUGGUUAUCUAGUUACGCUAAGAUAAAUAAAAGGUAGUGUCAGACAUCAUAAGAAAGCAUUAACAGAUGAAGCAAAUAAAAUUAGCGAAUUAUUCUUAGAAGGAGAUGACUUGCAUAAAACUCAGGUGAGUCAUCAAAUUAAAACAAGUUCUCUUUAUAAGUUGCGCAAUGUUUCGCCACCCAUGUUUGCA
Long non-coding RNA from Phymastichus coffea, 329 nucleotides. RefSeq lists it as uncharacterized. The transcript has 3 exons. The record is from RefSeq and is a predicted model, not a curated record. Lineage: Eukaryota; Metazoa; Arthropoda; Insecta; Hymenoptera; Eulophidae.